UAUCUAUCUAUUUUUCCUGAUUAGUCACCUGGAUCUACCGAUAGACCAGUAGGUCAAUUCGAGUAGAAGUAAUUGAAAAUUCUUAAACUCCAAGCUAAACCCACAAGAGCCUAUGAAUGGAGGAAGAUCAAAAGAACACUGAUAAAUAAACCCGAGCUAAAAUAAAGAAACCCAUAAAGUUAAAUCUGACUAAAAAAGACCAAAUUAAUUACUACAUGCGAAAAAACACAACAAAAAUUUGAAUCUGAACAGAUUUUCG
This 259-nucleotide unclassified non-coding RNA is filed under the name Hevea brasiliensis (rubber tree). Lineage: Eukaryota; Viridiplantae; Streptophyta; Magnoliopsida; Malpighiales; Euphorbiaceae. The record is from RNAcentral.